RNAcentral lists this ribosomal RNA (253 nucleotides) under uncultured bacterium. RNAcentral describes it as "partial 16S ribosomal RNA". It matches the Rfam family "Bacterial small subunit ribosomal RNA", at positions 524 to 776 of the family's 1533-position model. The record is from RNAcentral.
UACGUAGGGUGCAAGCGUUGUCCGGAAUUAUUGGGCGUAAAGAGCUCGUAGGCGGCUUGUCGCGUCGGCUGUGAAAACCCGCAGCUCAACUGCGGGCUUGCGGUCGAUACGGGCAGGCUGGAGUUCGGUAGGGGAGACUGGAAUUCCUGGUGUAGCGGUGAAAUGCGCAGAUAUCAGGAGGAACACCGGUGGCGAAGGCGGGUCUCUGGGCCGAUACUGACGCUGAGGAGCGAAAGCGUGGGGAGCGAACAGG